CCUACGGGAGGCAGCAGUGAGGAAUAUUGGUCAAUGGCCGGAAGGCUGAACCAGCCAUGCCGCGUGAAGGGCAGGGACCUAGGGGCGUUAAACUUCUUUUGUGCGGGAGCAAGAAUGGUCACGUGUGGCCAGACGAGAGUACCGUACGAAGAAGCAGCGGCUAACUCCGUGCCAGCAGCCGCGGUAAGACGGGGGAUGCAAGCGUUAUCCGGAUUUAGUGGGUUUAAAGGGUGCGUAGGCGGUCGGAUAAGUUAGAGGUGAAAUCCCGAGGCUCAACUUCGGAAUUGCCUCUGAUACUGUUCGGCUAGAGCGUAGUUGCGGUAGGCGGAAUGUCUGGUGUAGCGGUGACAUGCUUAGAGAUCAUACAGAACACCGAUUGCGAAGGCAGCUUACCAAGCUACUUCUGACGUUGAGGCACGACAGCGUGGGGAGCAAACAGGAUUAGAUACCCCUGUAGUA
This 459-nucleotide ribosomal RNA is filed under the name uncultured bacterium. RNAcentral describes it as "partial 16S ribosomal RNA". It matches the Rfam family "Bacterial small subunit ribosomal RNA", at positions 338 to 795 of the family's 1533-position model. The record is from RNAcentral.